GGGCUCACACAAGCGGUGGAGCAUGUGGUUCAAUUCGAAGCAACGCGCAGAACCUUACCUGGGCUUGACAUGCUAGGAUUAUCCCUAUGAAAGUAGGGUAGGCCCUUCGGGGUACAACUAGUACAGGUGCUGCAUGGCUGUCGUCAGCUCGUGUCGUGAGAUGUCGGGUUAAGUCCCUUAACGAGCGAAACCUUUGCCCUUAGUUACUAACGGGUUAUGCCGAGGACUCUAAGGGGACUGCCGGUGUCAAACCGGAGGAAGGUGGAGAUGACGUCAAGUCCUCAUGGCCUUUAUGCCCAGGGCCACACACGUGCUACAAUGGCGUCCAUAAAGCGAACCGAGAGCGCGAGCUGGAGGAAAUCGCACAAAUGACGCCCCAGUUCAGAUCGGAGGCUGCAACUCGCCUCCGUGAAGUUGGAAUCGCUAGUAAUCGCGGAUCAGCCACGCCGCGGUGAAUGUGUUCCUGAGCCUU
Molecule: ribosomal RNA, 472 nt
Filed under: uncultured bacterium
Lineage: Bacteria
Description: bacterial SSU rRNA
Rfam family: Bacterial small subunit ribosomal RNA
Source: RNAcentral